Long non-coding RNA from Cottoperca gobio, 1586 nucleotides. NCBI's taxonomy places the organism in Eukaryota, Metazoa, Chordata, Actinopteri, Perciformes, Bovichtidae. The record is from Ensembl.
AUGAUGAAGGUUCGAUCCCCAAAGGCUCCUCGGUCAUCGUCAGGAGAAUCCCAAUCAUCGGAGGAAAGUCCAGCUCACACAAGACCCGCCACAUUGAGCGAUCAGACCUCCAGACUAACCACGCCUUUGGAGCCUUCAAAGCAGUACGUAACCAAACCAAAAUCCCACUGCACCUCUUCUCCUGAAUCUCCACUAAACACACACAUUGUUGUCGUUAACAUGGCCUAAUAUCUGUGCUUGAACAGGAAUGUGUGCUUUGGUUUUUGAAACGCACGAAACCAUGAUCUAAUAUUAAAAGCCUCUAUUGCCGUUUAAGUUCCUGUUGCAAAGAGGAAGUAGUGCGCUUGUCAGGAUUUGAUUUACAGGGAGCCGCUGCUCUGAGCGGAACCAUAUUUUACAAUGACAAUAAAUAAAAUAAGAUAUUAAAAAGUAAAGUUUGCAGUUAGACCGUUUACAAUUUAACCAGUGUUGUAUUACUAACCAUAAAGGAAAGUAUAUAUUCUCUCUAAUAAUGGCUGUCAGCUGGUCAUCUAACAAGCUGCUGUGUCAUCACAAUAUCAUUCAGUAGCUAUCUGUGGUGGGAGCUGCUCGGGCGGGUCAAAGAAUUAUCAUGCCGGCCAGCUAUCCACAGCUGAUAAAACCAACUGUUGAUUUAUGAGCUGCUAAUAUAACAGUCACUGCCGAGUAGCCUCUUAUCCAUGAGCUGCUUUCAGACGUCUUAUUACAUUUGGAGAUGUCUAUAUUAGUAGCCUCUUUUGAUAUCUGUGUAGCUUGCACUGGUGUAAAUCUUUAAAUACAAUUUUAAUUUAAGAUGUUUUUUUUAUUUAGUAUAUUGAAUCUCAUUCAGUUGCCAGAUAUGACUGGAGUAAAACAAUCACAAAAGAACGUCACAAAAUUCAAAUUUAGUAGAAGGGUAAUCUAAUAGUACUCUUGUGAAGUGAGCACAUGCCGAGGAAAUGUGUCGUCAACACCCACCAAACUCUUCUUAUCGGGUAAAGAAGUUAAUGUCGUGAAGGUUUGUAACAUUGUUUGAAUGUUUUGAAAUGUAAACUAAACACUACCUCCCUUAAAACGUGAAAAGGGUUUAUAAUUCAGGCUUUAGUUCAAGAGUAAAUAAACAAUGCUUCGCUCAAACUCACUCACUUGCAGUGUCAGUUGUGUUUGUGAUCCUGUGCACUAACUCAAACACUUCCCAAAAGCCUUUUACUUUAGUUAGUGUGACCUGACCUCAUUCUCUCUCUGGUUUCUCAGUAGGAGUGUCUGCCACUCUUUGUUGGACUACACAAACUUUUUAAUUAUUUUGUGUUUUUUUGCCAAUAAAGUCGUUUGUUAUGAAGCUGUCUUAUGUAUUGAUUAUGUGUUUGACUUCACUGGAGAGAAUGCACACGCUGAUAACACGUUUUGGAGACGUCGGUAUGGAUCAUCAUUGAAAAUUUCUGAUUGAUCGUUAUUAUCUUAUGUCCAAAUUUUCCCUUUGCAGGAAAGACACAUUUUACAAAAAAUAAAUGGUACAUAUAGUGGGAUCUUUUGGACAAGUUUAAUUUGAUACUUAAGCGAUUUUAGUAUUGCACUUUCACAAAGUUGGG